RNAcentral lists this ribosomal RNA (557 nucleotides) under uncultured bacterium. Its description in RNAcentral is "bacterial SSU rRNA". It matches the Rfam family "Bacterial small subunit ribosomal RNA", at positions 102 to 694 of the family's 1533-position model. The record is from RNAcentral.
ACGGGUGCGUAACGCGUGGGAAUCUGCCCUUGGGUUCGGAAUAACGUCGGGAAACUGACGCUAAUACCGGAUGAUGACGUAAGUCCAAAGAUUUAUCGCCCAGGGAUGAGCCCGCGUAGGAUUAGCUAGUUGGUGAGGUAAAGGCUCACCAAGGCGACGAUCCUUAGCUGGUCUGAGAGGAUGAUCAGCCACACUGGGACUGAGACACGGCCCAGACUCCUACGGGAGGCAGCAGUAGGGAAUAUUGGACAAUGGGCGAAAGCCUGAUCCAGCAAUGCCGCGUGAGUGAUGAAGGCCUUAGGGUUGUAAAGCUCUUUUACCCGGGAUGAUAAUGACAGUACCGGGAGAAUAAGCCCCGGCUAACUCCGUGCCAGCAGCCGCGGUAAUACGGAGGGGGCUAGCGUUGUUCGGAAUUACUGGGCGUAAAGCGCACGUAGGCGGCGAUUUAAGUCAGAGGUGAAAGCCCGGGGCUCAACCCCGGAACUGCCUUUGAAACUGGAUUGCUUGAACAUCGGAGAGGUGAGUGGAAUUCCGAGUGUAGAGGUGAAAUUCGUAGA